RNAcentral lists this ribosomal RNA (450 nucleotides) under uncultured bacterium. Its description in RNAcentral is "partial 16S ribosomal RNA". It matches the Rfam family "Bacterial small subunit ribosomal RNA", at positions 338 to 795 of the family's 1533-position model. The record is from RNAcentral.
CCUACGGGUGGCAGCAGUGGGGAAUCUUGCGCAAUGGACGAAAGUCUGACGCAGCGACGCCGCGUGGGUGAUGAAGGCCUUCGGGUUGUAAAGCCCUGUGGGGAGAGACGAAUAAGCCGUGGCUAACAUCCACGGUGAUGACGGUAUCUCCUUAGCAAGCACCGGCUAACUCUGUGCCAGCAGCCGCGGUAAGACAGAGGGUGCAAACCUUGGUCGGAAUUACUGGUAGUAGAGCGCACGUAUCCGACGAGAAAUCCCUCGGCUCAACCAAGGAAGUGCAUUCGAAACCGCAUGGCUGGAGUCCCGGAGAGGAAGGUGGAAUUCUCGGUGUAGAGGUGAAAUUCGUAGAUAUCGAGAGGAACAUCGGCGGCGAAAGCGGCCUUCUGGACGAGGACUGACGCUGAGAUGCGAAAGCGUGGGGAGCAAACAGGAUUAGAUACCCCUGUAGUC